Pan troglodytes (chimpanzee) is the source of this 7379-nucleotide long non-coding RNA. RefSeq lists it as uncharacterized. The record is from RefSeq and is a predicted model, not a curated record. NCBI's taxonomy places the organism in Eukaryota, Metazoa, Chordata, Mammalia, Primates, Hominidae. The transcript is spliced from 5 exons.
UUCACAACUUAACAUAUGUUAUCCAUACAUUAAGAUAAAAUAUGUUAUCUUAGUAUAUGUCAAGCUAUAUUUUCAGGACUUGUCCCUGGAUCACCUCCAGAUUCAACAUUCUUAAUCAGUGAGCUAUGUAUUAGGUUGGUGCAAAAGUAAUUACGGUUUUUGCCAUCAAAGGUAAUCCAUUAAAGGUAAUGACAAAAAACAGUGAUUACUUUUGCACCAAUCUAAUCACUGGAAAUGUAAAGCAGCACUCAAAGAAACUGGCAAGAAUCAAUAAAUUACUUCUUUUUUCUGCAUGAAAGAAGUACAAUGCAAUCUAGUGGGAGUACCCAACAACACCAUCUUUGUAAAUGUAAUGCAUUUUGGGAUUAAUAGUUUGAAUAGUAUCCAAUUUCCAUUGGUAGGUCAUAAAAUUUGAAUGUUGACAAUUUCAUAUAAUUUAAACUAAUAUUAAUAGUAAAAUUAAAGAUAUAUAUAUAUAGAGAGAGAGAGAGAGAGAGACAGAGUGAGAGAGAGAGAACUCUAAUUGUCAAUUCUCUUUCUUUUAAUACCUUGGUACGAAAAAAGGAAACAAACCAAUUUUGGUUUUAAAGCUGCCAACAAUAUUACAACAAUUAUUACAUUGUAGGAAAUAAUUAGUGCAGUAUUCAGAAGGAAGGUCAUCCAAGUGAUAGUAAAAUAUUAUGAAGAGAUUCAUCGGUUUGAUUGUGUUAUUCAUAGCUAGUGAUAAUAAGUAAUUUAAAAGGAGCUAAAUGUAUUUUCUUUUUGCUAUAAAAAGGAUCUAUUUCCACAAAAUUUUCAGAAAAAUAAAUAUUUUCCUGAAGGUUAGUAUUCACAACUAAGGAACAAAUCCUUACAGUAGGUAUUUUUGAAUGUAUUUGUACAUGUAAGUGUGUGCAUAUGUAUAGGGGAGGGUAUGUGUAUUCUGAAUGAUCACAUUAAUAAAAUAAAUCAGGAAAAAUGAAAAGUAGACCUGAAAAAGAAAGCUGCUCAGCUAGGGAAGGUUAGCUUGCUAAAUGACUGUCAAGGGGCCUCUCCUAUUGGCAUUUAUCUUCAUGAAUUUUUCCCAUUGCAGUAUCUGGCACUCAAUUUUGCAGGCUCAGAGACUUGAACUUUUCAGUUUCUCAAAGUUGACAGGUACUGAUAUCAUUGAUUAAAAAUGACAAACUAUAAGAAACAGUUUAGCAAAAAGCAUGUCUAUUUCUUAAUUUAUAAAAUUAUGUAACUGCCCAGUGAACCAGACCAGCAUGCUGUCUUUUUAGUAUCUUUUCUUCAAGGAGAUAAGCUACCUAGGAACACGCAUUAUAAUCAGAAGUUUGUAGGAACUUAUGAAGUCAGAAUGAGAAGAAUCAAUUCUUUGUAGGGAAAGCAUGAAGCUGGAAUGGGAAGAAUCAAUUUUAGAUGUAUGGGCUUGAUGCCAUGAGAUUAAAGAAGAUAAUGAGUCAGACUUCCAAUAUGUGUGGAUUACUCUUGCCUUUCAAAAUGUUACAGGUUUCCUUCAGUGCCACUUUGCCAGCCAGAAAUCUCUGUGACCACUUCUGCCCGGGUCUCACUCAGGUCCUCUGGGCUCAGCCCACUCAGCCUGGCAGGCUUGUGCCCCAGCCUGGAUCCCACACCCACCAUGGUUCUGCACUCAGCCCAUGGCUAGAUUGGGCAGGUGUGAGUGGCUUCCACAUGGCUGCCACCAUCUAGAUGACGGAAAUGUGUGAUGACACCCAAAAACUCAGAAAUGCCAACAAUCAUGUGGCCCCAGGGGGUGUUAAUCUUGCUCAAAGAGUCUCGAGGUCUGAGCUCCCAAGAAAUGUCGCAGCUUUUCAUUCCCAUAGCUCGGCAAGUGAAACCUUGUCACAGCUCUCUUUCUUCUGUAGUCCAGCGAGUGGGAGCGUAUUACAGGUAUUUUCUUUCCACUGCCCACACAGCUCAGUGAGCCAGCCAGGAGUGUCAUAGCUGUUUCAUUCAUGCCACCUGCAGCUUGGUGAGUUCCAGGUUCUUGUCCCGUGACCAAGAGGAAUAAGAUGCAUGGACACCAGAGAGUGAGUAAGGCAGAGAAGAAUUUUAUUGAGUGACAGAAGGAAAGCUCUCAGCCACAAGAGGGGGCCUGAGAGUGGGUAGCCAGGUGUGAAGCUGAGUCUGGGUUUUUAUGGGCUUAGAAUGACCAAGUGCCUGCCGUUUGGUCCACAGGUGUUCUUGGAAAAAGCACCAUUCAAUUGGUUAAAAAGCAUCAUCUAGAAGGAACCAAUUGCGAGAGAGUGAGGAAGACAGAGAUAGAAGUUCUCACUCCAGUAAUUAACUCCAUCUGGAAGCAUCAGCUUGGUUUUCAGGCUUUAAACAGUUUUUGGUUUGAAGGUUGGGUAUCAAUGGAGACUUGUUUCUGUCUGCCUAGGAAUUUGUCUGUCUCCUGUCACUAUCACAAUAAGACAGGCUUGAUCUUGGCUAGGGCACACUUUUCCCUGGACAGGGUUCGAGUGGGAACUGGAUUGGGAAUGUUGAUCUUUGCAUGCCAUGCCCCCAACAAUUCUUAAUGACAUCUACCUUUACCAUUUCUCCUGCUGUUAAGUAGUUAUAUCUCUUCACAAACCACGGGCCUCAGCUACUGGGGCCAACAGUGAGCACUUGACCCCAAACAACUGAUCCCCAGGCUGAUGAGACCAUCUAAUGACCACUGUGGUUUCUGAUUCAAAACGAUGAGUUUAAGAAAUAGUUUUCUCUCUUAGAAUUUUGAAUGGGAGUAGGAAUAGUGGCAGUAUGCUGAAAUUGAAGCACUACACUUGUUCAAGGUAAGCAAUAAGGGUAAAAAGUAGAGGUUGUGUUGCCUAGUGCAGCAAGGAGAAGGAAGUCAGUCCACAAAGAAAAGCAAUGUAAAAGAGACAUCCUCCUAAUUAAGUUUAAAAAAAAAAUUUCCUCUAAGACCAUUUAGGUGACUUUCUAUGUUUCACCAUUUAUAUCCAAGUCAAAGAAACACUAUUGAAAUGUCCCUGAUGAAUUUUGUUUUUCUAUUUUUUAUUGCUUACGAAUGCAUGUUUGUGAUAGGCACAUUAUCUAUAUAUGUUAACAUCAAGUUUUCUUCCAACUCAGUUAUGCUUUCUUUCUCAACAAAACUUGGCAUUAUUUUAUCACAGGUUUAAUUUACGAGAUAACUUGAAGGGCAACUGAGUUUCUCUUAUUUCCAUGUUCCUCAGUGACUGUAUCUUAGUCUUCUCUCAAUUUGCCUAUAGGAUAUAUUUAAAGUUACCAAUGCUUCAAUAUUUAUUUGUUCAUUUGUAACUUAGCAUUUACUUUAAGUACAGUCUGAUACAAAACUUUAAACCAGAAAUGCAUUUAAACAAUCUAUAUUUUGAAAAUAAUUUUAUCUCCUUUUUUUUUUUUUUUUUUUGGAGACAGAGUCUUGGUCUGUUACCCAGGCUGGAGUACAGUGGUGCAAUCUCGGCUCACUGCAACCUUCACCUCCUGGGUUCAAGCGAUUCUCCUGCCUCAGCCUCCCAAGUAGUUGGGAUUACAGGCAUAUGUCUGCUAAUUUCUUUUUUUUAAUUUUAUUUUAGUAGAGAUGGCGUUUAGUAGAGAUGGCCUCCUGGCCUCAAGUGAUGCACCCCCUUUAGCAUCCCAAAGUGCUGGCAUUACAGGCAUGAGCAACUUCACCUGGCUUCAUAAUUUAUUCUUAUGUAAUUUAUACAUUUUGUACUUACAUGAACUUUUAAACUUUUAACAACAUUUCAAUAUUUAAUAUGCUAUGAAAGUUAAAAUUUAAAAAAAUCAAAAUGCAUCCAUGCAGUUUAUCAGAUGUAAAUAUAGGAACUUGAAAAUGCAGUUAAUGCUUUUAUAGAUUAUAAUCAAUUGUUGUUUUACCAGUUACUUACAAUUUUAUAAAAUUUAAAGCUCAUGAAAGCCUAACAACAUGUAUUUGUCACAAAGUAGUUUUACUUAUUUUUCAAAGAAAUACUAUGAAUGCAGAAAUGGAUUUCACUACAAAAGUGUCAAAUUUUUUUUCAUUAAUUGGAGUCAUAAGUCAUUUUUAGCCAUCUUACUCCCUUUGAAUUGGUGCUUUUAUGUUGCCUAAGAAUAUGUUGAUACAUUUUCAUUGCCUAAAUGUGGUUGAAGAAUGCUGGGUGUAUAAAGACAAGCUACCACCUGAAAUUCUCAGGUCAACAUUUAAAUUUAAAGGUCUUUUUUAUUGUUGGCUGUUGUGCUAAAUCUUAACCAUAGAGCAAAUCUGAAGUAGCAAUCCAAUCUAUAUUAAAAAAAUAAAUAACACUUGAUAUGAUUUGGCUGUGUUGCCACCCAAAUCUUAUCUUGAAUUCCCAUGUGUUGUAGGAGGGACCCAGUGGGAGGUAAUUAAAUCAUGGGGGCAGGUUUUUCCCGUGCUGUUCUCAUGACGAAGUCUCACAAGAUCUGUGGGUUUUAAAAAUGGGACUUUCCCCUCACAAGCUCUCUGUUUGCCUGCUGCCAUCCAUGUAAGACGUGACUUGCUCCGCCUUGCCUUCCAUCAUGAUUGUGAGGACUCUCCAGCCACAUGGAACUGUAAGUCCAUUAAACCUCUUUCUUUUGUAUAUUGCCCAGUCUGGAGUAUGUGUUUAUGAGCAGUAUGAAAAUGGACUAAUACAAUACCUUAGUACAUGGAUUAAGUUAAGUUAAAAUUAAAAAGAAAUUUUCAGAUCUUAAUUUCUAGAUAUUUAAAUAUUUAGUAUAAAAAAGUUAUUGUAAUGUAAUUGAUAACUAAGGUUUAUCUUCCAGAAUGCCAGUAGAACCCUCAAUAAGAUGACAUGUUUAUAAUUUCCUUCCUGUCAUCAAUGUUAUAUAUCUCCUUUUAGCAUCUACAGGUCUUUGCCUAUUUAUUUAUAAGCCACAGAAGAUUAAGAAUGAAGGAGGAGAGUAUGUGCAAAGAACCAUCAUACUUAAUUCCCACCUCUUCAAACUGCUAGAGCCACAGACAAUCCUGGAAUACCCCAAAAGAGAGGAGGAUUCCAUGCUGCUGCUCCACCAUGCUUCACACCAAUCAAUAAGAAGUGUUUCCAGCUGUAUCUACGAAAUGUCUCUCCAGAAUCACUGACAAUUCGGUUCACAUCAUAUGGCAAUUAGAUAAUUUUCUGAUGACUUUUAACUUACCUCCUCUCUUUUGACUUCUCCCUACACCAUAUCAGUGUCCAAAGUGUUGCCAAAACCACUUCAAAAAUGCACAUCUGUUUCUGUCUCUCCCUUAUAUUAUGCCUUCAAAUCAUGACUUCUUAAAAUGAUAUAAGGAAUUUUUACAGUUGGGUUACAAAGUAAGUUGGAGCCUCCUUUAUAAUUGUUCCUGUACAUUUGCCAUCCCUCCAGACUUAAAGAAUAAAUUGAAGAACUUUGUACAGAAUAUUGACUUUCCUGUUGAUGUGCCAUCAUUUAGCACAGGAGAAGCAACUCAGUGUAUACCUAUCUGCAAACUUUUCUAAUGAUAAUUUGUGCCUAUAGUCCUGUACUGAUGUGAAGUGUGAAAAAAUAUAUACCAGGGGAAACAAAGGAGAAUGGCACCAUAUAAUUGGUAGAUUUUCAUCCCAUAGUUUAUUUUCGUAUUUGCCUGCAAGGUCUUUUUUCAUACACUAAAUCAAGCCCUGCCUGUUUUGAAAUCAUCAUCGACACCCCUUCAAAGCACAGACAAAUUUUGAGAAUUGUCAGACUAAUAAUGUUGACUCUUCAAAUGUAUGAACAAGGUACAUUCACUAGCUAAUUAAGUCUUCCUUUAUUUCCUUUGCAAUGAUUUGUAUCUUUCAGUGUACACAAAAAACAAAAUAUCCAAAUGCUUAGUUUUGUUGUUAAGGUAUGCUCUUUGACAAAAAGAGUAUUAUAUGAAAAACACUAAUCUAACAUUGUCAUCUCAGAUAAAACAUUUCUUAUGAAUAACAAUGUAUGAUUUAAAUUGUGAUAAAAAUAAUGGGUUCCAUAGGAAUCAUAGCAUAUUGUGUUCAAGUUAUAUAAAAUUACACCAUAGAAUUUAUAUUUUCAGAAGAGUUUUGAAUGACCAUUGUGGUGAUACAUGCUUUUUUUUUUCUUCUCCUAUGCCAUGUUUUGUAGUCAUUUUAUUCAAAAUAUAUACAUUUUCAUUUUUGAAGAGUGUUUACCUGGACUUCAUUAAAUAACCAGUGUAUAUUUCAUUUUAGGUAAGAUUUGUUUCAGUUGUAAUUAAGAUCCUUAGCCUCUAAUUCUAGUUGAAUUUUUCCCAUCAAUUCUUCUCAUUUAUUCACUACAAAGAAAUUGCUAUAGUACUUAAAGUAUCUAAUUAUACAGUUUUGCUCCCUUAUAAAUAAAUGAGAACAUAAUGAAUACAUUAGUAAUCAGUGGGUGGAUUCACAACAAUGUAAGAGGUAUAAAAUAUUUGUACAGCUUGACAGGUAGAAACAUUUCUCUACUAAUGGUUUAUGUAAAUUCAUUACUUAUACACUUUUGAUGGGAUUCUAUAGUAUUCUCUUAUUUUAUGAUUUCUUAUUGUUAGUAUGUAGAAAUUCAAUUGUCUUUUCUGCAUUGACCUUGCAUCUUGCAAUCCUAAACAUUAUCUUGUUAGCUAGUAGCUUUUUUAUAUAUUUCUUAGAGUUUAUUACAUAUGCAAUCAUGUCAUCUGUUAAUAAAGAAGAUUUUUACUUCUUACUUUUUAAACAGUAUGAUUUUUUUUUCCCUACUACACUGGCUAAAACAUCCAGUAUAAUUUUAAAAAACAAGAGAUAAGAGUAAAUAUCCCUUUUUUCCUUUUUAUUGGUAAAAAGCAUUGGGCCUUGCCCUUGGAUAUUAUAUUAGCUAUAAGUUUUUUAAUAGAUACCCCAAAUCAAAUGGAGAAAAUCUAUUCUCACUUUUCUGAGAGUGGUUUCCUAUGAAUGAGUGCUGAAUUUUGUCAAAUACUUUUUCCACCUAUUAAAGUGAACACAUUAUUUAUCUCUUUUGUAAUUUUAAUGUGGUAAUUAAAAUUACUGAUUUUCUGACAAACCUUACAUUCUCAGGAUAAAUUCUACUGGGUCCAUGCUUUUUGAUUUGAUUUCCUAAUUUUUAAAAAAUAAUUGUGUGUCUACAUUCAUGAAGGUUAUCAAUCUGUCAUUCUUUCUUUAAAUAUCUUGUCUGAUUUUGGUAUUCAGGCAUUACCGAACUCAUAAAAUGAAUUAUGAAGUGUCCUUUAUUUUCUGAAAAAUUUUGUGCGUAAUUGUAAUUUUGGUUUGCCUCAAUGUUUGAUAGUGUUCAGAUGUGAAGACAAGCUAUGCACUUCCAAUUGAAUAAAUUUUGGUAUUGUCUUUCAAGAAUUUUUUUAUUCCAUCUAAGUUGCCAAACAUAUUAGAAUAAAGUUGCUUAUAAUAUUAUUUUAUUACUCUUUAAUGAAUAUUGGAACUUAUAAAAAGCCACAUCUCUCAUCCCUGGGAUUGGUCGUGUGU